Non-coding RNA from Gossypium arboreum, 103 nucleotides. The record is from Rfam. Lineage: Eukaryota; Viridiplantae; Streptophyta; Magnoliopsida; Malvales; Malvaceae.
AAUCUAUGAUGCGGGUAUUUCUAAAUCAACAUUUUGAAAUGUUCCCAUGCAUCAUAGAAACUUCACCAUGUGUCUAAAAACAACAAUCCCUGUUCUUAAUUGU